This 274-nucleotide unclassified non-coding RNA is filed under the name Hevea brasiliensis (rubber tree). Lineage: Eukaryota; Viridiplantae; Streptophyta; Magnoliopsida; Malpighiales; Euphorbiaceae. The record is from RNAcentral.
AUGCCAUUCAUGUAGCUUUGAUGCGUGCAUUGAGACGCCAUCUCGAGAUGCUGUCUUCAGAUGGUUCAGAUAUCGCAUCAAAAUGUUUAAGUUGUAUCGAUUGGAGCUUGCUGGAUUCACUCACUUGGCCUGUUUAUUUGAUCCUUUAUUUUACAGUAAUGGGGUAUGCAAAGGGACCAGAGUGGAAUGGAUUUUAUGAUGAUGUUUUGAAGAGAGAGUAUUAUUCCUUGCCAGUGAGUAGGAAGCUGAAGAUUCUGCAAAUUCUGUGUGAUGA